ACUGCAGCAGCAGGGCAGGAAUUAAAUGGUGCUAGAAUGAACUGAGUAAGAACCUAAAAACGUUUAGGCACAUCUGCAUAAUGAUGUGUUUAGAAAGUAACUUCCUAUCCGUAUAGAAACACACAUGGACAGGAUACAUCAUAUAUAAACGUAUAUGUAAUAUGCAUAUUAUUUAACCAUGUUUACAAAAUUUAAAAAAUAGAUUACAGUUGGAGAAAAGUGGCCAGGUUACUGAAGGUGCUCCAUCUGCUCCUCACUGGUCCCCAGGACAGGGACGUGUCCUCAGCCUGCUGCAUUAAACCAUGACCGAAGAAGUUAACAGUUCAAACUCUAACACUUUAAAACUAAUUUCAUUUAAAAACAAAUGACAAUGGAUGCUUGUUGUAAAAUGUAUCAGGUAAAGAAACAUAAAAAAAUUUAAAUCGGGUUUUCAGCAGGAAGUCCCCGUAUCACUGAGAUGAAUCUGGUGCUGGUGUGUAGAACAUCAGGCAGGAGAAACUCUGAGACGUUCUCUUCCCUAAGCAUGGGCAGAUCCUUGAAGCGGACCAUGAACCUCUGUUACCUCAGAAGAUGAGUAACAUCACAAAGUCUCUUCUGUCAGGAAGCCACGGCGUACUCCUGCGUGCUCCAUCUCUGGCGGUGGUGAGGAGGCAGAACUGGACGUCUACAGCAUCCAUGAAGGCCACGCUGACUCCUACCCGAGGUGUUAGCGUGGAGAAAUGAGCAGACAGCGGGUGGAGGACGGCGAGUAAACGCUCACGACACAUGAAGCUACAUGUUAUCAGAACAGAUUAUCCUGAUGUGUUGACAGCAAAGCACCAGAGGGAAGGAGGCGGCUGUCCUGAGCUCCAGGCAGCUGAAGAUUUCCUCCAGCUGAAGAUGUCCUCCAGCUGAAGAUGUCCUCCAGCUGAAGAUGUCCUCCAGCUGAAGAUGUCCUCCAGCUGAAGAUGUCCUCCAGCUGAAGAUGUCCUCCAGCUGAAGAUGUCCUCCAGCUGAAGAUGUCCUCCAGCCGAAGAUGUCCUCCAGCUGAAGAUGUCCUCCAGCUGUCCCUGGGGAGCAGACGUCAUGCCUCGUAUCUUUUCACAUCGUCUGCUGCGGGUAAACUCACCGUUCCUUUCAUCCAUCGAUGGAGGCGAGGUUCUCCGGCUGAUGACCUGCUUACUGGACUCAGGAGUGCUGAAGCAGAGACACACACAUGGUGCUUACAGUUUUAUCUCUAAAUGAAGAUGUCAUGAAAAGGCUCUCUGAAUCUGAAACUCAUGUGAGAAAGUGGGGAAGAAGCUGGAAAAGAGGACGGAGGCCUGCGGUGGACGCUCUCGCCUCCAGAACCUCAGAACGGCGGAGAAGCCAUGAAGGAGUCAGUCAUGGAAGGGAAGGUGGAGCAAGACUUUUCAGAUAAGAGACUGUCCCACAGGACUGACGGGACAGACGUUGUCUCAGACACGCUCAGACAGAAGCAAUCGCUGCACAAGAUUCAUCAAGACAACUUUAUCACGUCCAAAAAUAAAUGCCUGUAUCAAC
Molecule: long non-coding RNA, 1521 nt
Organism: Fundulus heteroclitus (mummichog)
Lineage: Eukaryota; Metazoa; Chordata; Actinopteri; Cyprinodontiformes; Fundulidae
Exons: 4
Source: RefSeq, a predicted model, not a curated record